AGCAGAAUAGCUUAGUGGAAAGAGCACUGGCUUGGGAGUCAGAGAUCGUGGGUUCUAAUCCCAGCCCUGCCA
Molecule: transfer RNA, 72 nt
Filed under: Ornithorhynchus anatinus (platypus)
Lineage: Eukaryota; Metazoa; Chordata; Mammalia; Monotremata; Ornithorhynchidae
Rfam family: tRNA
About the family: Transfer RNA (tRNA) molecules are approximately 80 nucleotides in length.
Source: Rfam by way of RNAcentral